CUUUUCGCUCCGUCCUUUACUGCAUGCUCGACAUAAUUCCAGAAGCAUUAUGUUCCAUUGCCUUUUUUCCACUUUUCUUAGUUGCUCUCACUCUCCCUUGUCUUCUUCUCAGAAAGUGUAAAGAUCUUUCUUGCAAGCAAAAUUGAAUUGCCGUUUUUAGGCGUCGACAAAUCCCUAGACUAGCGACUUCAUGAUCUUUCUCCGGUGGUUGAGGACCUUUCUAAAGGUUGAAAAGCAAUCAAACUAUUAAAUAUCAAUGGUAAAAGAUGUAGUUUUCUCCUUAAAUUUUAAUCUUUUUCCUUGCUUUAUAGUUGUUCAUAGAUUCUUAUAAGCAAUUUAUGAUGGGAAUAUACAAUUUAUGAUGGGAAUUUUAAUGGGUUUUCACAAAAUCGGUUUUGGGGGAUUAUAUUUUAUUUUAUUUAGAAAUUGGGGCUUUUCCUUUUGAGUUCCUAAAUAAGCUAUGUUUCUACAUUAGAUGUGUAUUGCUCUUACAGGUGACUGUGCAUUUGAUACUCCAGUAAUUGUGACUCCAGAAAAUAAGCCCUCAACUCUAAUGCCCUCUAUGGUAUCUCUUCUCUGUCUCUGUGACAACAUAUCUCUGACUUUUUUUGAGGAUUGUAUUUUGUAUUCUUCUCUCUUUAUUUUUUUUAAAAUUUUUAGAAUUUUGUUGGUGAUUAUGAAGAGCUUAUUUGGGCUCUUUUUUGGCAACAUGAGAUUCCAUAUAACUAGUCUUAUUAAUAUGAAAAGGUGAAAGAAACAAUAAUCUUUGCCAUCGCUGAUAAGUUGCAAGUAAUGAAUGGUAUAUUAAGAGCAAUUUUAUAACAUUCAUAUAACUCUUGGAGUUUAUAUUUACACUUCUUGAGAUUGAAGUUAAUAGUAUAAGAAAUAUUCUAUGAGAGCUAUAUUGAAUACUAACUGUUAGAAGUUAAAAAGAUUCCAUUUUGAGAACUAUAGUGAAUACUAACUGUUAAAAGUUGAAAAGAUUCUACUUUGGAUAACUCAUCAUUCACAAUUCACAUGAUAUCAUAAGUCAAUUGAAGUAUGCAUUUCUGAUAUCAAAUCUGUAAUAGCUGGCUAAAGAAACAAAGACUAAUUGUAGGAUAAGAAAAAGCUUUCAAUUUGCUGUAACUUUGAUGGGCCCAAAAGCAAAUAAGUUAGGUGAAUCUUGCGAGUUCUUCUGCUUCGCAUCAAAGUUUCUUUGUCUUGAUAAUUUAUUUAUGGUUAUGAAAAUUGAAAAACUCUAAUAAGUAAUUUUCGAAGGUCGGUAGUGCUUAGUCUCUUCGUUCGUAGGCUUGAAUCACAUUAUUGUAAACUAGCUUUGUUAGAAGAUACUACUGCCACAGGUAAAUAUGCUUCACAUUUCUGGUAUAUCAAUUAAUUUGGUUCAACUAAUAUAAUGAACCAGUGAAUGGUCACUGAGCAAGUAUGAAUGUCAUUUACUGCUAAGAUCUCCCCGUACGUUAUUUGCAAUCUCCUUACCUUAAAAAUGAUUAUAUAAAUAUAUGAUAUUUCACUGUAAUAAAAAGUUUCUCUUUUUGGUACAAAGCAGAAUAUGUCUUAUAUGAAUCAGUACAUUAAGAUGUAGCUUAAUUAUUAACUAUCUUCUAAUGCCCAAUGCCUUUUGAACUGGAAACCACUGAACAAGCAUUUUAAAAUGCUACUAACGACCUACCAAAGGUGACCGACGAGGUUUCAUGCUUAGUUUUUGUGAUGUUAUAUAAUUCUAUCAUUAUUUGCACAUUUCUUAGUUGUUCAAAUUUUCAGUACCAAUAUCAGCAAGUGUGGCGGAGUUGAUAAUUUAUUUUUUGGAUCUUAGAUCUUUUGCUUGAAUAUGCCUAGGCUCCUUCAGAUGAUGUAGUUAAAAUGGUGGUGGAUAAGUUUUUGGUAUAGUGGUUGAUGCAAAAAGUAAUUUUAAAAUGAAUAAACAAUUCUUAGGUAGUAAUUAUAGCUUGGUUAAUUGGCUUGGAAUGUUUGAACUGUCAACGUUGUGAUGUAGGCUAUGCAGUGUGAUUAACGAAUGUCGUUUUUCAAAUUUGUAAAGCAUAUAUUCAUUUCAAUAUUGUCACGAUAAACCUGGUUGCUUGAAGGCACAUAAGCUGAAUCUAUAUAGACGACGAUAUUUCCAAAAAUGCAAAUGGAGACACUGAAAAUAUUUGAUGAUGUAAAUAUGGGUAUAGGAAUUUUAGUUUUAAUUGUAUAUGUUAAGAAUUAAUUGCUUUUUUAUAAACAAUUAAAAUUAACUUUUAAUUUUUUACUCUAACAUAAUGGUAAUUAUCAUGAUGUUGGCAUAUAAUAGGCUUAGUAGACUGUCAACAAGAUGCACUCCUAGGUGAUGGUAAG
RNAcentral lists this long non-coding RNA (2340 nucleotides) under Nicotiana tabacum (common tobacco). Its description in RNAcentral is "long non-coding RNA (NTAB_LNC008436)". The record is from RNAcentral. Lineage: Eukaryota; Viridiplantae; Streptophyta; Magnoliopsida; Solanales; Solanaceae.